UGAGUGGGCCGAACGACCGCGGGCACAUUUUGAAAAAAAGUGCGUGAGGAAAGUCCGGGCUCCAUAGGGCAAGGAUAACGGGUAACGCCCGCCAGGGGUGACCCUCGGACAAGUGCAACAGAAAUAUACCGCCGAGCAUGCUCGGUAAGGGUGGAAAAGUGAGGUAAGAGCUCACUCGCCGGUCGGAGACGAUGCGGUGCUGUAAACUCUAUCCGGAGCAACACCGUGGGAGGACAUACGAUCUGCCCGAUCGUCCUCAGGAGGUGGCUAAAGCCUGUCGGCAACGGCAGGAUUAGAUAGAUGGUCGUUUAAGACAGAACCCGGCUUAUAGACCCACUCGCCAA
This is a non-coding RNA of Firmicutes bacterium CAG:555, 344 nucleotides long. It matches the Rfam family "Bacterial RNase P class A". From Rfam's summary of the family: Ribonuclease P (RNase P) is a ubiquitous endoribonuclease, found in archaea, bacteria and eukarya as well as chloroplasts and mitochondria. Lineage: Bacteria; Bacillati; Bacillota. The record is from Rfam.